Pistacia vera is the source of this 671-nucleotide long non-coding RNA. RefSeq lists it as uncharacterized. The record is from RefSeq and is a predicted model, not a curated record. NCBI's taxonomy places the organism in Eukaryota, Viridiplantae, Streptophyta, Magnoliopsida, Sapindales, Anacardiaceae. The transcript is spliced from 3 exons.
UGUAGUAUCUUCACUGUUUGUUAUGGUAGUUCUAUGUAUCUUAAUCAUUUUGGGGAUUUUGGUGGAUUAGUAUUUACGAACGCAUAAUUAGGCUCAUGAUGCAUCACAUUUGUUUUUUCUUUUUUCAAUCUGUACACAGGAUACUCAUCUUCUACUGACUGGGGGAGUGGAGAAAAUCCUUCGUAUUCUUGAUUUGAAUCGUCCAAAUGCACCCCUGGUCAGUCAGAACUGUUGCAUGGCUCCAUAGUGAUCAAAUAAUGUUAAGCUCUUGCUCUGACAUGGGCGGUGUCAGGUUAUGGGAUGUAAGAAGUGGUAAGAUAGUCCAAACACUCAAGACCAAGUCAUCUGUGACCAGUGCUGAAGUGAGUCAAGAUGGUCGUUAUGUCAAAACUGCUGAUGGGUCAAUAGUUAAGUUUUAUGCCUUGGCCAAAUCUGAAUCUUGAACUCUAAUGAAAUGGGAACUAUCUUUCUGAACAAGAUGUUACAGUUGAUAUUGAGGCAAUCAAAGAAGAGAAAAGAGUUUUGGAAUUGUCUCUAGCAGAAGCCAGAGACAAAAAUUCUAGGCUCAGAGAAAAGGUCGAUGAAGUUAACAGUACUCAUGGUGAAUUAUCCAAGGAACUCCAAUCUGUCCAAGGUCAACUGGUAACCGAGAGAUCAUGAAUCUUUAAAUU